Molecule: ribosomal RNA, 499 nt
Filed under: uncultured bacterium
Lineage: Bacteria
Description: partial 16S ribosomal RNA
Rfam family: Bacterial small subunit ribosomal RNA
Source: RNAcentral
GACGAACGCUGGCGGCGUGCCUAAUACAUGCAAGUCGAGCGGACUUUCAAGAAGCUUGCUUUUUGAAAGUUAGCGGCGGACGGGUGAGUAACACGUGGGCAACCUGCCUGCAAGACGGGGAUAACUCCGGGAAACCGGGGCUAAUACCGGAUAAUAUCUUCCUUCGCAUGAAGCAAUGUUGAAAGGCGGCGCAAGCUGCCGCUUUCAGUUGGGCCCGCGGCGGAUUAGCUAGUUGGAGAGGAAACGGGUCCCCAAGGCGCCGAUGCGUAGCCGACCUGAGGGGGUGGUCGGCCACACUGGGACUGAGACACGGCCCCGACUCCUACGGGAGGCAGCAGGAGGGAAUCUUCCGCAAUGGACGGAAGGCUGGCGGGGCCACGCCGCGUGAGCGGAGAAGGGCUUCGGAUCGUAAAGAUCCGUUGUCAGGGAAGAACAAGUACCGUAAGAACAGGGCGGUACCUUGACGGUACCUGACCAGAAAGCCACGGCUAACUACGUG